CGCGGACGGGUGAGUAACGCGUGGGGUAACCUGCCUCAUACAGGGGAUAACAGUUAGAAAUGACUGCUAAUACCGCAUAAGCGCACAGGACCGCAUGGUCCGGUGUGAAAAACUCCGGUGGUAUGAGAUGGACCCGCGUCUGAUUAGUUAGUUGGCGGGGUAACGGCCCACCAAGGCGACGAUCAGUAGCCGGCCUGAGAGGGUGAACGGCCACAUUGGGACUGAGACACGGCCCAGACUCCUACGGGAGGCAGCAG
RNAcentral lists this ribosomal RNA (257 nucleotides) under uncultured bacterium. RNAcentral's name for it is "partial 16S ribosomal RNA". It matches the Rfam family "Bacterial small subunit ribosomal RNA", at positions 97 to 354 of the family's 1533-position model. The record is from RNAcentral.